ACCNGUNAUUUGCGAAAAGCGNGGGGAUCGAAACNGGNUUAGANACCCUGGUAGUCCAGNGCCGUAANCCGAUGANUGCUAAGUGUUAGGGGUUUCCGCCCNUUAGUGCUGGCAGNNAACGCAUUAAGCACUCCGCNUGGGGGGUACGACCGCAAGGUUGANACUCAAAGGAAUUGGCGGGGACCCGCACAAGCGGUGGAGCAUGUGNUUUAAUUNGAAGCAACGCGAAGNACCUUACCAAAUCUUGACAUCCUUUGACCCUUCUAGAGAUAGAAGUUUCCCCUUCGGGGGACAAAGUGACAGGUGGUGCAUGGUUGUCGUCAGCUCGUGUCGUGAGAUGUUGGGUUAAGUCCCGCAACGAGCGCAACCCUUAAGCUUAGUUGCCAUCAUUAAGUUGGGCACUCUAAGUUGACUGCCGGUGACAAACCGGAGGAAGGUGGGGAUGACGUCAAAUCAUCAUGCCCCUUAUGAUUUGGGNUACACACGUGCUACAAUGGACAAUACAAAGGGCAGCGAAACCGCGAGGUCAAGCAAAUCCCAUAAAGUUGUUCUCAGUUCGGAUUGUAGUCUGCAACUCGACUACAUGAAGCUGGAAUCGCUAGUAAUCGUAGAUCAGCAUGCUACGGUGAAUACGUUCCCGGGUCUUGUACACACCGCCCGUCACACCACGAGAGUUUGUAACACCCGAAGGCCGAAAAAUCACCAGGGGGAGUAGCCGUUUUUUGGGUNCCGGCUCU
This 737-nucleotide ribosomal RNA is filed under the name Staphylococcus sp. ccc_3. RNAcentral describes it as "partial 16S ribosomal RNA". It matches the Rfam family "Bacterial small subunit ribosomal RNA", at positions 742 to 1475 of the family's 1533-position model. The record is from RNAcentral. Lineage: Bacteria; Bacillati; Bacillota; Bacilli; Caryophanales; Staphylococcaceae.